AGUCUGACGGAGCAACGCCGCGUGAGUGAUGAAGGUUUUCGGAUCGUAAAACUCUGUUGUUAGGGAAGAACAAGUGCCAUUCGAAUAGGUUGGCACCUUGACGGUACCUAACCAGAAAGCCCCGGCUAACUACGUGCCAGCAGCCGCGGUAAUACGUAGGGGGCAAGCGUUGUCCGGAAUUAUUGGGCGUAAAGCGCGCGCAGGCGGUCCUUUAAGUCUGAUGUGAAAGCCCACGGCUUAACCGUGGAGGGCCAUUGGAAACUGGAGGACUUGAGUACAGAAGAGGAGAGUGGAAUUCCACGUGUAGCGGUGAAAUGCGUAGAGAUGUGGAGGAACACCAGUGGCGAAGGCGACUCUCUGGUCUGUAACUGACGCUGAGGUGCGAAAGCGUGGGUAGCGAACAGGAUUAGAUACCCUGGUAGUCCACGCCGUAAACGAUGAGUGCUAGGUGUUAGGGGGUUUCCGCCCCUUAGUGCUGAAGUUAACGCAUUAAGCACUCCGCCUGG
RNAcentral lists this ribosomal RNA (506 nucleotides) under Virgibacillus sp. SUJ5. RNAcentral's name for it is "bacterial SSU rRNA". It matches the Rfam family "Bacterial small subunit ribosomal RNA", at positions 380 to 876 of the family's 1533-position model. The record is from RNAcentral. Lineage: Bacteria; Bacillati; Bacillota; Bacilli; Caryophanales; Bacillaceae.